UGAGCAACCUACCGAAAUGUGGGGGAUAGCCGGCCUAACGGCCGAGUAAUACCGCAUACGCUCUCGAUGAGGCAUUUCAUUGAGAGGAAACCUACGGGACAUUUCGAGGGGCUCGCGGCCUAUCAGCUAGUUGGCGAGGUAACGGCUCACCAAGGCAACGACGGGUAGCUGGUCUGAGAGGAUGGCCAGCCACAUUGGGACUGAGAUACGGCCCAGACUCCUACGGGAGCAG
RNAcentral lists this ribosomal RNA (232 nucleotides) under uncultured bacterium. Its description in RNAcentral is "partial 16S ribosomal RNA". It matches the Rfam family "Bacterial small subunit ribosomal RNA", at positions 118 to 347 of the family's 1533-position model. The record is from RNAcentral.